Molecule: long non-coding RNA, 1267 nt
Organism: Malaclemys terrapin pileata
Lineage: Eukaryota; Metazoa; Chordata; Testudines; Emydidae
Exons: 6
Source: RefSeq, a predicted model, not a curated record
AUAGGUCUGGUCACUCAGGGAACAGAAAACUACUUAUCCAGUGACCAGUAUAUUUGCCUUCUACCAGACUCCUGUACCCCACUGGUCUGGGUCUGUCACACCCCCCAAUUCUAUUCUUAGGCCCUGCUUCUGCGUAGUCCCACUGACGUCAGUGGGGCUACUACUGGGUGUAACAUUAAGCACAUGCAUAAAUGUUUUCAGGAUUGUGAACCUAGUUUCCUACCAUUUAGGUUGUACCCACAUUUAACUUUUGUCAGUGUGAAAAAUGUCUCAGUUUACUAACAUUCCACAAUUUUGUGACCAGUCCAACAUCUCUUCUUUUUUUUUAACGAGGGGGAAAAAAUCCCCAUCCUUAAUUUUUUCCAUUAGGUUCUUGAGGACCUGGUGUCUUCAUUCUACUGCAAUGUGUUGCUGCAACAUCUUGGAGAACAAUUAGUGAGGGACGGUAUGAGGAAAGAUACAUGGGAGGUGCUGAGAUAUGAGUGAAAUGGAGGCUCUGUAUGGACACUGGGAUAGAUUGUGAAAUGGCGAGUGGAGCAGGAUGCUGCUCUGCAUCCUAUGAUGAGGGCAAAAUAUGACCUGUGGAGCAGAAGAAGAUGGUUGACUGUGGGGAGGAUCCGAUCUCCAACCUGUGAUUAAAAAAAAAGGCAAAUUGAAAAAAGAACUGGAAUUCCAUCAUGUAACUUAUUGACACCCACAAGGGGUCAGCAGCAGGAUUGGAACUGUUAUAUCCACCACACAGCUCCAGUGGCAGAGGUCUAACAGAGUAACUGAUAGCAAUAGAAGGUUGUCAUCCUGUAUGUGAACCAGCAGCAGUAAAGGGGGAUGAACACUUUGCCAGUGGGUUUCAGACAUAUUUGAUGACAGCAGAGGAAUGAAAGGACUCAUUAUGCAGAGGCUGCAACUCCAAUUGCUUUGAUGUACUUCAGCAGCUCUGAAGGAGUCAUUCCUGCCUACCACAACAAUGAUUUAAGAAGAAAUCUUACCACAAUAAGCAGGAGUGCAGUACUAGCAUCUCCGUUUUAUUACCGCUGGAGUUCAGUCACUGAAAAAAGAUUUGGACAAAAUAACUGAGAAAAUAUCAAGUUACAAGCCAGGAAGGGGAAACAUCACCACUUUUACAAUGCGAUGACUGAUGUCACUCAAACACUACAAAUCAUUUUUUUCUUUGAACUCUAAAACAGGUGGAGCUCCAGCAAAAGGAUCUGUGAAAUGGUGAUGACCUAAGGGGCGGGAAAAACCCACUGAUUCUACCAUACUAAAUCAG